Molecule: microRNA, 22 nt
Filed under: Lottia gigantea (owl limpet)
Lineage: Eukaryota; Metazoa; Mollusca; Gastropoda; Lottiidae
Description: Lgi-Mir-315_3p* (star (passenger))
Source: RNAcentral
CGCUCGGGCAACAAUCAACUAA